Long non-coding RNA from Phyllostomus discolor (pale spear-nosed bat), 756 nucleotides. RefSeq lists it as uncharacterized. NCBI's taxonomy places the organism in Eukaryota, Metazoa, Chordata, Mammalia, Chiroptera, Phyllostomidae. The record is from RefSeq and is a predicted model, not a curated record. The transcript has 3 exons.
UUUUUUCUCUUGGUAUAUAAAGUGGGAAAUUAAUUGACUCGUGAAUGAAGCUGCGCUGCAGGCCAGGUGGUUCUUUCAACCUGUAUUUUGGUUUUCAGCGAAGGCUCCUGACUUUGUGCAGAGCGGGGCCUGGCCGGGGAUCCCAGACAGCGAGGUUGGUGAGGCCCAUGGGUGACUGUGGGUCUCGGCCACACCAGCCACGCCGGCAGCCCUGCGGUUGCGGCUCGGGUGGAGGCAGAGCCUCUCGCUGCUGUUCGUCAGUGCCCGGUAACACAGACGCCACGUUGUGCCUUCAGAACACGAGGCCCCGUCUUACACCUGACGUUUUCCAGGCCCAGACAGCCGCCCGGAAGAUACACUUUGUCACACUGGCCCAGUGGGGUCCAGUUGCCCCUCCUCUGAGUGGCCACGUGUUCAGGGGACCUGGCCGCUUCCCCCGGCAUCUCAGCCAGCCCCGGCGGUCUGUGCCGGUCCCCUGCUGAAGCGCGGACACGUGAUGUCUUCUGGCCAACUGGCACCUGAGGGGAGGGCCAGUUCCCACAGUCCUGGAGACACAAGCAAGGGGUGGCGACCCUUUGGCUGCCUCUGGACGUGACACCCGGACUCCUACGGCCACCUUGCAACCUCGAGGAGAGGUGGUCCGUGACAGAACCCCACAUGGUGAGGAAGGCGGCACUGGGAGCAUCGCAGCCCGAGCCUGGCCCUCCCGGGCCUGCGGCCUCUCCACCAUGGGCCCCUCAGGGACCUAGUGUGUGU